GACGAACCGUGCGAACGUUAUUCGGAAUCACUGGGCUUAAAGCGCGUGUAGGCGGGUGGGAACGUCGGCCGCUGAAAUCCCCCGGCUCAACCGGGGAAGGGGCGCCGAAACGGCCCGCCUGGAGGGACGUAGGGGGGGCUGGAACUUCCGGUGGAGCGGUGAAAUGCGUUGAGAUCGGAAGGAACGCCCGUGGCGAAAGCGAGCCCCUGGACGUCUACUGACGCUGAGACGCGAAAGCCAGGGGAGCGAACGGG
Molecule: ribosomal RNA, 254 nt
Filed under: uncultured bacterium
Lineage: Bacteria
Description: partial 16S ribosomal RNA
Rfam family: Bacterial small subunit ribosomal RNA
Source: RNAcentral